GGCAACUUCUGCUCUAGAUAGCAGGUCUGAGUUAUUAGUGAGGCAAGCUGUGCAGCAUUUAAUGGAAAAUCAUACUGUGCUUGUGAUUGCUCAUCGGUUGGAAACAGUUAUGAUGGCUAAACGAGUAUUCAUUUUAGAUGGUGGCAAACUUGAGGAGCUGACUAGCUCAAAUCUUUUGGGUGGUCACAGCAAUUCUGGGUCAUCGACUGGACUUGUGGUUUGAGGGCAUGGAAAUAUGUGGCACGGGCAGUAAAGAGUACAGACAUAGAUAUAAGCUUUUCUUUUUUCUUUUUUUAACUAGAUAGGCAUA
Molecule: unclassified non-coding RNA, 310 nt
Filed under: Hevea brasiliensis (rubber tree)
Lineage: Eukaryota; Viridiplantae; Streptophyta; Magnoliopsida; Malpighiales; Euphorbiaceae
Source: RNAcentral